This 262-nucleotide ribosomal RNA is filed under the name uncultured Bacillus sp. RNAcentral describes it as "partial 16S ribosomal RNA". It matches the Rfam family "Bacterial small subunit ribosomal RNA", at positions 876 to 1114 of the family's 1533-position model. Lineage: Bacteria; Bacillati; Bacillota; Bacilli; Caryophanales; Bacillaceae. The record is from RNAcentral.
CGAUAGACGGUCGCAAGACUGAAACUCAAAGGAAUUGACCUAGAGGGGGCCCGCACAAGCGGUGGAGCAUGUGGUUUAAUUCGAAGCAACGAUAACGAAGAACCUUACCAGGUCCGUAGUUGACAUCCUCUGACAAUCCUAGAGAUAGGACGUCCCCUUCGGGGGCAGAGUGACAGGUGGACAUAUAGCUGCAUGGUUGUCGUCAGCUCGUGUCGUGAGAUGUUGGGUUAAGUCCCGCAACGAGCGCAACCCUUGAUCUUAG